UACGUAGGGUGCAAGCGUUAAUCGGAAUUACUGGGCGUAAAGCGUGCGUAGGCGGCUAUGUAAGACAGAUGUGAAAUCCCUGGGCUUAACCUAGGAACUGCAUUUGUGACUGCAUUGCUAGAGUGUGGUAGAGGGAGAUGGAAUUCCGCGUGUAGCAGUGAAAUGCGUAGAUAUGCGGAGGAACACCAAUGGCGAAGGCAAUCUCCUGGACCUGCACUGACGCUCAUGCACGAAAGCGUGGGGAGCGAACAGG
RNAcentral lists this ribosomal RNA (253 nucleotides) under uncultured bacterium. RNAcentral's name for it is "partial 16S ribosomal RNA". It matches the Rfam family "Bacterial small subunit ribosomal RNA", at positions 524 to 776 of the family's 1533-position model. The record is from RNAcentral.